RNAcentral lists this ribosomal RNA (900 nucleotides) under uncultured bacterium. RNAcentral describes it as "bacterial SSU rRNA". It matches the Rfam family "Bacterial small subunit ribosomal RNA", at positions 512 to 1401 of the family's 1533-position model. The record is from RNAcentral.
CAGCAGCACGUAUACGUAAGGAGGCAAGCGUAUCUGGCAUUACUGGGUGUAAAAGGAGACGUAGUCGGCCUGCGUUAAGUCAGCAGUGAAAGCCCGCGGCUCACUACCUGCGGACUGCUUUUGUACUACAUGCCUGAUUGCAGCAGGAGGCAAAGUAGAAGUCCUUAGUGUAGCGGUGAAAUGCGCAGAUAUUAGGAGGGAACAACCACUGGCGAAGGCGGCUUGCUGGACUGUAAAUGACGCUGAGGCUCGAAAGCGUGGGGAGCAAACAAGGAUUAGAUACCCUGGUAGUGCACGCCGUAAACGAUGAAUACUAGGUGUCGGGGGGGCAUGGCCCUUCGGUGCCGCAGCAAACGCAGUAAGUAUUCCUCCUGGGGAGUACGUUCGCAAGAAUGAAACUCAAAGGAAUUGACGGGGACCCGCACAAGCGGUGGAGCAUGUGGUUUAAUUUGAAGCAACGCGAAGAACCUUACCAGGCCUUGACAUCCCAUUGCAUACAGAGUAAUGUCUGUAGUCUUUCGGGACAAUGGAGACAGGUGGUGCAUGGUUGUCGUCAGCUCGUGUCGUGAGAUGUUGGGUUAAGUCCCGCAACGAGCGCAACCCUUACCUUCAGUAGCCAGCGGAUAAAGCCGGGCACUCUGGAGGGAGUGCCAGGGACAACCUGGAGGAAGGUGGGGAGGACGUCAAAUCAUCAUGCCCCUUAUGGCCUGGGGUACACACGUGCUACAAUGGCGUAAACAAAGGGAAGCGAAAGAGCGAUCCGGAGCAAAUCCCAGAAACAACGUCCCAGUUCGGAUUGCAGGCUGCAACCCGCCUGCAUGAAGCUGGAAUCGCUAGUAAUCGCGAAUCAGAAUGUCGCGGUGAAUACGUUCCCGGGUCUUGUACACACCGCCCGUCAAG